RNAcentral lists this long non-coding RNA (465 nucleotides) under Carica papaya (papaya). RNAcentral's name for it is "long non-coding RNA (CPAP_LNC005919)". Lineage: Eukaryota; Viridiplantae; Streptophyta; Magnoliopsida; Brassicales; Caricaceae. The record is from RNAcentral.
AAACCAGAAGCCUUGAGGCCCAGUCCAACCUCUGCCCAGGGUGUAAAACGACAUCUUUUCGGGACAUCUUCCUUCUGGCAAUGGGAAUGGUUUCGGUUGAAUAGGAAUUGGAAAAAAUAGAAGAGAGCGGGUGGAAAUGUGGCCGCUUAUGAAACACCACCGUUUGAAGACCAGCCUUCUUCCUCCUGUCGACGGAAAUGGUUCAGGUUAAUAGAAAACGGAAAAACAGAGAGAGAGAGAGAGCAGGUAGAAACAUGGCCGCUGAUGAUGAGAAGGUGGGGAUUGUUGGAAUGAUGAUGAUUGAUGGACGAUUCGAGCCAAAAAGGAGAAGAGAAGCGACAGGAUCAGGGAGCAGAGCAUGGCCUCGAUUGAUGAAGAAGAAAGGAAGUGAGAUUUCAUGAAAACUCCAAGUGAUUAAACUCCUUUUCUUCAAAUUAUUAUAUUAAUUUUUUAUGAAAUGUUGGA